This 431-nucleotide ribosomal RNA is filed under the name uncultured bacterium. RNAcentral's name for it is "partial 23S ribosomal RNA". It matches the Rfam family "Bacterial large subunit ribosomal RNA", at positions 35 to 428 of the family's 2925-position model. The record is from RNAcentral.
GGCAUCAGGAGUCGAUGAAGGAAGUGGGAGACUGCUUUAAGCUUCGGGGAGCUGUCAACCAAGCUUUGAUCCGAAGAUUUCCGAAUGGGGCAACCUACCUAAGCAAACCUUAGGUGUUCUUAUCUGAAUUUAUAAGGUAAGAAAGGCAACGGCGUGAACUGAAACAUCUAAGUAGCGCCAGGAAAAGAAACAACGUGAUUCCCUAAGUAGUGGUGAGCGAACCGGGAACAGCCGAAAACUUGUGUUGUGUAAGAGGCCACUCGUUGCAAUACAAGGGAAGCGGGAGCAAGUGUCUAACAGGUGGUUCUAUUAGGUUAUGUAGCUAACUAAGCUGAAUUGUUUUGGAGAAACAACCAUAGAAAGCGACAGUCUUGUAAGCAAAUAGUUAGAAGUACGUAAUAACUUGUUUCCCAAGUACCACAGAGCACGUG